This 497-nucleotide ribosomal RNA is filed under the name uncultured bacterium. RNAcentral describes it as "partial 16S ribosomal RNA". It matches the Rfam family "Bacterial small subunit ribosomal RNA", at positions 28 to 507 of the family's 1533-position model. The record is from RNAcentral.
GAUGAACGCUGGCGGCGUGCCUAAUACAUGCAAGUCGAGCGAACGGACGAGAAGCUUGCUUCUCUGAUGUUAGCGGCGGACGGGUGAGUAACACGUGGAUAACCUACCUAUAAGACUGGGAUAACUUCGGGAAACCGGAGCUAAUACCGGAUAAUAUUUUGAACCGCAUGGUUCAAAAGUGGAAGACGGUCUUGCUGUCACUUAUAGAUGGAUCCGCGCCGCAUUAGCUAGUUGGUAAGGUAACGGCUUACCAAGGCAACGAUGCAUAGCCGACCUGAGAGGGUGAUCGGCCACACUGGAACUGAGACACGGUCCAGACUCCUACGGGAGGCAGCAGUAGGGAAUCUUCCGCAAUGGGCGAAAGCCUGACGGAGCAACGCCGCGUGAGUGAUGAAGGUCUUCGGAUCGUAAAACUCUGUUAUUAGGGAAGAACAUAUGUGUAAGUAACUGUGCACAUCUUGACGGUACCUAAUCAGAAAGCCACGGCUAACUACGUG